RNAcentral lists this ribosomal RNA (498 nucleotides) under uncultured bacterium. Its description in RNAcentral is "partial 16S ribosomal RNA". It matches the Rfam family "Bacterial small subunit ribosomal RNA", at positions 27 to 507 of the family's 1533-position model. The record is from RNAcentral.
GGAUGAACGCUGGCGGCGUGCCCAAUACAUGCAAGUCGAGCGAACGGACGAGAAGCUUGCUUCUCUGAUGUUAGCGGCGGACGGGUGAGUAACACGUGGAUAACCUACCUAUAAGACUGGGAUAACUUCGGGAAACCGGAGCUAAUACCGGAUGAUAUUUUGAACCGCAUGGUUCAAAAGUGAAAGACGGUCUUGCUGUCACUUAUAGAUGGAUCCGCGCUGCAUUAGCUAGUUGGUAAGGUAACGGCUUACCAAGGCAACGAUGCAUAGCCGACCUGAGAGGGUGAUCGGCCACACUGGAACUGAGACACGGUCCAGACUCCUACGGGAGGCAGCAGUAGGGAAUCUUCCGCAAUGGGCGAAAGCCUGACGGAGCAACGCCGCGUGAGUGAUGAAGGUCUUCGGAUCGUAAAACUCUGUUAUUAGGGAAGAACAUAUGUGUAAGUAACUGUGCACAUCUUGACGGUACCUAAUCAGAAAGCCACGGCUAACUACGUG